This 1067-nucleotide long non-coding RNA is filed under the name Sus scrofa (pig). RNAcentral describes it as "lncRNA (ENSSSCG00035045389.1)". Lineage: Eukaryota; Metazoa; Chordata; Mammalia; Artiodactyla; Suidae. The record is from RNAcentral.
CUAUUAUAUACACAAUAGGUAGCACAUUAUAUAUACUUGAAAUAUGUGUAUAAUAAAUAUAUGUGGAUCUGAAAUAAAUAUAAUAAAAAUUUUGAUGAAACUGGGUGGCAGAUACAAAGAUAUUUGAUAUACUCUUCUCCAUACUUUUCUCAUACUUGCUAUAUUUUGUUAGAAAUUUAAAAAUUCAUAGUUAUAAGAAAACGCAAAAUAGAGUACUAAGACCGAAUUUUUUUUUUUUUUUUUGGCCUCUACAGGUGCCUAACACAGAAAAGGACUAGAACUCCAGAUAUUUCCCACUUUCAAAAAAUUGGCCUCCUAAAGGAUGUCACCAGCAACUGGAAUGGGGAGGAAACGAGACUAAGAAAGUACCCGAGUCAGAAAGAAGGGGAAGCCCCAUUGGAAGUGUGGGCCCUAAGGACAUGGAAGCUGGCUUUUUGUUUUUUAAGGUCUCAGAGUGAGAAACAAGAUGCUCCAUGUUUAUCUGUGCAGUUAAUCAGGAAGAAUUCAUGAGACACCACGGACGGAGGCUCCUCUGGAAUAUGGAACUGGGCUCUCAGGCUUCCUUUGCACUGCGUGCUCUCUUGUUCCACUUGAACGUCUGGUUCUAAAUUUGUUUCAUUUUCACCAUAAAAUGAGGGGGAAUCAUUGUGAUGAGCAGCGAGCCAUGGUGUGUCUCCCCCAAGACCUUGCUUGAGCAGAUUAGAAGGUGCCUUCAAAAGCCGCUUCUCUCUGCACCCACUCAUUCAUUCAGGACAUAGGUGAUAAGUGUUUCCUACAUGCCAGGCACAGUUCUGAAAGCUGAGGAUACAGCAGUGAACAAACAGAUGAAAAUCCCUGCCCUCCUGGGGGCUUAGAUUCUACCGAGUAUAGAAAGACAUAGAACAAAAUUAAUUUAUUAAGCGUCCCCUCGUGCCCAGCGGCUUAAGGAUCUGGCAUUGUCACUGCAGCAGCGUGGGUACUUGCUGUGGCUUGGGUUGGAUCCCUGGCCCGGGAACUUGUGCAUUUCAGGAGCACAGCCAAAAUAAUAAUAAUAAUAAACAAUUUGGUACAGGGGAGGAGAAAGGACA